GGUAACACUAACUGGAGGACCGAACCGACUAAUGUUGAAAAAUUAGCGGAUGACCUGUGGCUGGGGGUGAAAGGCCAAUCAAACCGGGAGAUAGCUGGUUCUCCCCGAAAGCUAUUUAGGUAGCGCCUCGUGAAUUCAUCUCCGGGGGUAGAGCACUGUUUCGGCUAGGGGGCCAUCCCGGCUUACCAACCCGAUGCAAACUGCGAAUACCGGAGAAUGUUAUCACGGGAGACACACGGCGGGUGCUAACGUCCGUCGUGAAGAGGGAAACAACCCAGACCGCCAGCUAAGGUCCCAAAGUCAUGGUUAAGUGGGAAACGAUGUGGGAAGGCCCAGACAGCCAGGAUGUUGGCUUAGAAGCAGCCAUCAUUUAAAGAAAGCGUAAUAGCUCACUGGUCGAGUCGGCCUGCGCGGAAGAUGUAACGGGGCUAAACCAUGCACCGAAGCUGCGGCAGCGACACUGUGUGUUGUUGGGUAGGGGAGCGUUCUGUAAGCCUGUGAAGGUGUGUCGUGAGGCAUGCUGGAGGUAUCAGAAGUGCGAAUGCUGACAUAAGUAACGAUAAAGCGGGUGAAAAGCCCGCUCGCCGGAAGACCAAGGGUUCCUGUCCAACGUUAAUCGGGGCAGGGUGAGUCGACCCCUAAGGCGAGGCCGAAAGGCGUAGUCGAUGGGAAACGGGUUAAUAUUCCCGUACUUGGUGUUACUGCGAAGGGGGGACGGAGAAGGCUAUGUUGGCCGGGCGACGGUUGUCCCGGUUUAAGCGUGUAGGUGUGUGUUCCAGGUAAAUCCGGUUCACUUUAACACUGAGGCGUGACGACGAGGCACUACGGUGCUGAAGCAACAAAUGCCCUGCUUCCAGGAAAAGCCUCUAAGCAUCAGGUAACAUCAAAUCGUACCCCAAACCGACACAGGUGGUCAGGUAGAGAAUACCAAGGCGCUUGAGAGAACUCGGGUGAAGGAACUAGGCAAAAUGGUGCCGUAACUUCGGGAGAAGGCACGCUGACACGUAGGUGAAGUGAUUUACUCAUGGAGCUGAAGUCAGUCGAAGAUACCAGCUGGCUGCAACUGUUUAUUAAAAACACAGCACUGUGCAAACACGAAAGUGGACGUAUACGGUGUGACGCCUGCCCGGUGCCGGAAGGUUAAUUGAUGGGGUCAGCGCAAGCGAAGCUCCUGAUCGAAGCCCCGGUAAACGGCGGCCGUAACUAUAACGGUCCUAAGGUAGCGAAAUUCCUUGUCGGGUAAGUUCCGACCUGCACGAAUGGCGUAAUGAUGGCCAGGCUGUCUCCACCCGAGACUCAGUGAAAUUGAACUCGCUGUGAAGAUGCAGUGUACCCGCGGCAAGACGGAAAGACCCCGUGAACCUUUACUAUAGCUUGACACUGAACAUUGAGCCUUGAUGUGUAGGAUAGGUGGGAGGCUUUGAAGUGUGGACGCCAGUCUGCAUGGAGCCGACCUUGAAAUACCACCCUUUAAUGUUUGAUGUUCUAACGUGGACCCGUUACCCGGGUUGCGGACAGUGUCUGGUGGGUAGUUUGACUGGGGCGGUCUCCUCCUAAAGAGUAACGGAGGAGCACGAAGGUUGGCUAAUCCUGGUCGGACAUCAGGAGGUUAGUGCAAUGGCAUAAGCCAGCUUGACUGCGAGCGUGACGGCGCGAGCAGGUGCGAAAGCAGGUCAUAGUGAUCCGGUGGUUCUGAAUGGAAGGGCCAUCGCUCAACGGAUAAAAGGUACUCCGGGGAUAACAGGCUGAUACCGCCCAAGAGUUCAUAUCGACGGCGGUGUUUGGCACCUCGAUGUCGGCUCAUCACAUCCUGGGGCUGAAGUAGGUCCCAAGGGUAUGGCUGUUCGCCAUUUAAAGUGGUACGCGAGCUGGGUUUAGAACGUCGUGAGACAGUUCGGUCCCUAUCUGCCGUGGGCGCUGGAGAACUGAGGGGGGCUGCUCCUAGUACGAGAGGACCGGAGUGGACGCAUCACUGGUGUUCGGGUUGUCAUGCCAAUGGCACUGCCCGGUAGCUAAAUGCGGAAGAGAUAAGUGCUGAAAGCAUCUAAGCACGAAACUUGCCCCGA
Molecule: ribosomal RNA, 2066 nt
Filed under: Salmonella enterica subsp. enterica
Lineage: Bacteria; Pseudomonadati; Pseudomonadota; Gammaproteobacteria; Enterobacterales; Enterobacteriaceae
Also listed under: 1 other name
Description: partial 23S ribosomal RNA
Rfam family: Bacterial large subunit ribosomal RNA
Source: RNAcentral